AGUGAAGAAAAUGGCAAUAGGAAAGGCUCUUACCAGGGAUAUGAAAGUCACAUUCCAAGCCAGUUCUGUCUGUUGCUGUUCCACUUCUGUGUCUCCAUCCUCUUUUCCUUACAGCGACCCUGAUGCCUAGCAAAGUCCCAAGAACAACGUAGGUGGGUGCUUGCUGAAUAAAUAGAUGUCUGCUCCGAAUAAUGAAUCAAAGGCGUUAUAGCAUUUGGCACUUACUAAAAGAACUAAGGCAUGCUCCUUAGUUUUAAGAAGACCUUUAACACUGAAAUAGAGAAUGUUUGCUUGUGGACCUUGAGCAAAACCAGAGUUUUUUUUCAUCUUCUGAGCUGUGUCUCCCUGUAGCUUGGUCCCACGUUUUUGCCGUUGCUCUCCUUGGGGCUGGCUGUAGAUGGUCUCUGGCAGGGAGGGUACCCUAUGUCUGUCCUUUUUCGUCCUGACCCCACACUGGGACCCCUGACCUUUGCCUAGCUUUCUUGCUUAUGUGCUGCUUUGGAAGCUCCUGACUUUGGACUCGGUGUUCUCCUGGGACAAUUCUGAUUUUUUUUCUGUUCUGUGCACACUUCAUUCCUCAAGAAGGAGGCGCCUGUCCUCUUGCUCUGACCUGAAGCCUUGUAAGGUCAUCGGAAUGACUCUCCCUUACUCAUGCUCCCAUCAAGAUAGAAGAACCGGACAUCCUGAUUCUGAAAUAUCUUUGCCCAGAGUAUCAUCCAAGCCUGAGCAGAAGAGCUGGCAGGGCACAGAGUCACACUGACGUGCAGGAUGGCCUGGAUCCUGCCAUGUAAAUCAAAGAAGAGAGGGCCUGACUCAGCUGCCUAGCCUGCGUCACCUGGAACCCAUUAUGAUACAGGAUCAUAAACACCUCCAUUUUCCCUCCAGAGAGAGACCAGACCCACUGAAGUUAAGCUACCUGCAUAAGAGUUGAGUGCGAUCAGCUGUACUUAAUCUUUAAAUGUCCAACCCACUGAUAACCUUUGGUUUGCUUUGAUAACUGUGAAAUAAAUUCUCACUGCAUCGGAUGCCGGCAUUCUGGUUUCUAUUCAAGGCUGUGGUGCAGAUGUCAUGGAAUCUUGGACUGGACAACAGUCCUUGGAGAUCUCUGGGGCCAGUUACUGGCUUUUAGGCAUUUAAUUUCUAAGCCUCCCUCUGCCAACUCUAAAUUUCUUCGGGGAAUGCCAUGGCAUUUGUGCAUCACCAAGCUUUAGGU
This 1213-nucleotide long non-coding RNA is filed under the name Equus caballus (horse). RNAcentral's name for it is "lncRNA (ENSECAG00000034625.3)". The record is from RNAcentral. Lineage: Eukaryota; Metazoa; Chordata; Mammalia; Perissodactyla; Equidae.